GAUGAACGCUGGCGGCGUGCUUAACACAUGCAAGUCGAACGAAGCACUUUAUUUGAUUUCCUUCGGGACUGAUUAUUUUGUGACUGAGUGGCGGACGGGUGAGUAACGCGUGGGUAACCUGCCUUGUACAGGGGGAUAACAUUUGGAAACGGCUGCUAAUACCCCAUAAGCGCACAGCAUCCCAUGAUGCAUUGUGAAAAACUCCGGUGGUAUAAGAUGGACCCGCGUUGGAUUAGCUAGUUGGUGAGGUAACGGCCCACCAAGGCGACGAUCCAUAGCCGACAUGAGAGGGUGACCGGCCACAUUGGGACUGAGAAACGGCACAAACUCCUACGGGAGGCAGCAGUGGGGAAUAUUGCAAAAUGGGCGAAAGCAUGAUGCAGCGACGCCGCGUGAGCGAAGAAGUAUUUCGGUAUGUAAAGCUCUAUCAGCAGGGAAGAUAAUGACGGUACCUGACUAAGAAGCACCGGCUAAAUACGUG
RNAcentral lists this ribosomal RNA (481 nucleotides) under uncultured bacterium. RNAcentral describes it as "partial 16S ribosomal RNA". It matches the Rfam family "Bacterial small subunit ribosomal RNA", at positions 28 to 507 of the family's 1533-position model. The record is from RNAcentral.